Molecule: long non-coding RNA, 791 nt
Organism: Octopus sinensis (East Asian common octopus)
Lineage: Eukaryota; Metazoa; Mollusca; Cephalopoda; Octopoda; Octopodidae
Exons: 2
Source: RefSeq, a predicted model, not a curated record
AAAGAAAAUAGAAGACAGAACUUUUGCAUUAAUAAAAUAAAUUCCAACAGUUUUCGUAGUAAACAAGUAAACUUCACUACCAACAUGAGUAACGGCGUUGACAAUAAUAGGAAUAACACUGGUAAUAGUGAGAAUGAGAGAGACAUUAACAAUAACAGCAACAUCAUCGGCGUUGACAGUGCGAAUAGUAUGGUUAACAGAAGCAGCAAUAAGGAAGCACCUGUUGUUAGAGGUAUGUGAUAGAUAAACACAAAGGUUGCCGAACGGUGUGCGACAAAUAAACAAACGUAAAACUUACCACCUGAAAAAAAAGACAUGACAACCUAUGGUGUUUUAGAGGAUAGCAGAAUAAAAGGUAGAACACAACAGACGGGGAAAGGUGAGACGAGAAACCACAGCACAACGCAACGGAUUCAAACACAACACCACACACCGAUAAGUAUUGUGCAAUAUAACAAGGAACGAAUUUCGUACGAAAUACUAGCGCCACACAGCACACAACGCAAGCGGGAGUAACCCAUAUGCAUACACACAAACAGAGACACACACACACACGCACAUCUGAUUGACGCAUACGCUCACACUAGAAACUUAGCACAACUACACAUAGGAAACCACGCAACACACCAGUACAAAAACACAACGUAGCAUAGCGCAACACAGCACAACAUAACACAACACCCAGCAUCUAGCACCCAGCACCCAGCACAACAUACCCUCAAACACUGCACAACACAACAUCGCAACAACACAAACACAAACGCAAAAACUACAAAACAGCACAACCAGAA